Molecule: ribosomal RNA, 570 nt
Filed under: Alternaria alternata
Lineage: Eukaryota; Fungi; Ascomycota; Dothideomycetes; Pleosporales; Pleosporaceae
Also listed under: 3 other names
Description: eukaryotic LSU rRNA
Rfam family: 5.8S ribosomal RNA (bases 196-349)
Source: RNAcentral
UCCGUAGGUGAACCUGCGGAGGGAUCAUUACACAAAUAUGAAGGCGGGCUGGAACCUCUCGGGGUUACAGCCUUGCUGAAUUAUUCACCCUUGUCUUUUGCGUACUUCUUGUUUCCUUGGUGGGUUCGCCCACCACUAGGACAAACAUAAACCUUUUGUAAUUGCAAUCAGCGUCAGUAACAAAUUAAUAAUUACAACUUUCAACAACGGAUCUCUUGGUUCUGGCAUCGAUGAAGAACGCAGCGAAAUGCGAUAAGUAGUGUGAAUUGCAGAAUUCAGUGAAUCAUCGAAUCUUUGAACGCACAUUGCGCCCUUUGGUAUUCCAAAGGGCAUGCCUGUUCGAGCGUCAUUUGUACCCUCAAGCUUUGCUUGGUGUUGGGCGUCUUGUCUCUAGCUUUGCUGGAGACUCGCCUUAAAGUAAUUGGCAGCCGGCCUACUGGUUUCGGAGCGCAGCACAAGUCGCACUCUCUAUCAGCAAAGGUCUAGCAUCCACUAAGCCUUUUUUUCAACUUUUGACCUCGGAUCAGGUAGGGAUACCCGCUGAACUUAAGCAUAUCAAUAAGCGGAGGA